GACGAACGCUGGCGGCGUGCUUAACACAUGCAAGUCGAACGGAAAGGCCCUGCUUUUGUGGGGUGCUCGAGUGGCGAACGGGUGAGUAACACGUGAGUAACCUGCCCUUGACUUUGGGAUAACUUCAGGAAACUGGGGCUAAUACCGGAUAGGAGCUCCUGCUGCAUGGUGGGGGUUGGAAAGUUUCGGCGGUUGGGGAUGGACUCGCGGCUUAUCAGCUUGUUGGUGGGGUAGUGGCUUACCAAGGCUUUGACGGGUAGCCGGCCUGAGAGGGUGACCGGGCUCAUGGCGACUGAGAUAGGGCGCAGACUCCUACGGGAGGCAGCAGUGGAGAACAUUGCAGAAUGGGCGGAAGUGUGAUGCGGCAGCGCCGCGUGCGGGAUGACGGCCUUCGGGUGGUAAACCGCUUUCGCCUGUGACGAAGCGUGAGUGACGGUAAUUGGUAAAGAAGCACCGGCUAACUACGUG
This 468-nucleotide ribosomal RNA is filed under the name uncultured bacterium. RNAcentral describes it as "partial 16S ribosomal RNA". It matches the Rfam family "Bacterial small subunit ribosomal RNA", at positions 28 to 507 of the family's 1533-position model. The record is from RNAcentral.